Molecule: non-coding RNA, 112 nt
Organism: Salvelinus sp. IW2-2015
Lineage: Eukaryota; Metazoa; Chordata; Actinopteri; Salmoniformes; Salmonidae
Source: RefSeq, a predicted model, not a curated record
GACAGGUUGUAUGUUGUGUGUAAUGUUGUCUGAGUGGGACAGGUUGUAUGAUGUAGUAAUGUUGUCCUGAGUGGGACAGGUUGUAUGAUGUAGUAAUGUUGUCUGAGUGGGA